Molecule: ribosomal RNA, 203 nt
Filed under: uncultured bacterium
Lineage: Bacteria
Description: partial 16S ribosomal RNA
Rfam family: Bacterial small subunit ribosomal RNA
Source: RNAcentral
ACUGCAGGCUGCAACUCGCCUGCACGAAGUCGGAAUUGCUAGUAAUCGUAGGUCAGCAUACUGCCGUGAAUACGUUCCCGGGCCUUGUACACACCGCCCGUCACACCAUGAGAGUUGGAAAUACCCGAAGCCUGUGAGCUAACUUAAAGAGGCAGCAGUCGAAGGUAGAGCCAAUGAUUGGGGUGAAGUCGUAACAAGGUAUC